RNAcentral lists this ribosomal RNA (293 nucleotides) under uncultured bacterium. RNAcentral describes it as "partial 16S ribosomal RNA". It matches the Rfam family "Archaeal small subunit ribosomal RNA", at positions 455 to 747 of the family's 1478-position model. The record is from RNAcentral.
GUGCCAGCCGCCGCGGUAACACCGGCAGCCCGAGUGAUGGCCGAUAUUAUUGGGCCUAAAGCGUCCGUAGCUGGCCGAGCAAGUUCGUCGGGAAAUCCACGCGCCUAACGUGUGGGCGUCCGGCGAAAACUGUUCGGCUUGGGACCGGAAGACCCGAGGGGUACGUCCGGGGUAGGAGUGAAAUCCCGUAAUCCCGCACGGACCACCGAUGGCGAAAGCACUUCGAGAAAACGGAUCCGACAGUGAGGGACGAAAGCCAGGGUCUCCAACCGGAUUAGAUACCCGAGUAGUCC